GACGAACGCUGGCGGCGUGCCUAACACAUGCAAGUCGAGCGAGUGAAUCUCCUUCGGGAGUGAAGCUAGCGGCGGACGGGUGAGUAACACGUGGGCAACCUGCCUCAUAGAGGGGAAUAGCCUUUCGAAAGGAAGAUUAAUACCGCAUAAGAUUGUAGCUUCGCAUGAAGUAGCAAUUAAAGGAGCAAUCCGCUAUGAGAUGGGCCCGCGGCGCAUUAGCUAGUUGGUGAGGUAACGGCUCACCAAGGCGACGAUGCGUAGCCGACCUGAGAGGGUGAUCGGCCGACAUUGGGACUGAGACACGGCCCAGACUCCUACGGGAGGCAGCAGUGGGGAAUAUUGCACAAUGGGGGAAACCCUGAUGCAGCAACGCCGCGUGAGUGAUGACGGCCUCGGUUGUAAAGCGUCUGUCUUCAGGGACGAGUAAUAGACGGUACCUGAGGAGGAAGGCCGACGGCUAACUAACGUGCCAGCAGCCGCGGU
This 483-nucleotide ribosomal RNA is filed under the name uncultured bacterium. RNAcentral describes it as "bacterial SSU rRNA". It matches the Rfam family "Bacterial small subunit ribosomal RNA", at positions 28 to 521 of the family's 1533-position model. The record is from RNAcentral.